RNAcentral lists this transfer RNA (75 nucleotides) under Staphylococcus aureus. Its description in RNAcentral is "tRNA-Pro". It matches the Rfam family "tRNA". From Rfam's summary of the family: Transfer RNA (tRNA) molecules are approximately 80 nucleotides in length. Their secondary structure includes four short double-helical elements and three loops (D, anti-codon, and T loops). Lineage: Bacteria; Bacillati; Bacillota; Bacilli; Caryophanales; Staphylococcaceae. The record is from RNAcentral.
CGGGAAGUAGCUCAGCUUGGUAGAGCACUUGGUUUGGGACCAAGGGGGUCGCAGGUUCGAAUCCUGUCUUCCCGA